RNAcentral lists this ribosomal RNA (347 nucleotides) under Escherichia coli. Its description in RNAcentral is "partial 23S ribosomal RNA". It matches the Rfam family "Bacterial large subunit ribosomal RNA", at positions 138 to 523 of the family's 2925-position model. The record is from RNAcentral. Lineage: Bacteria; Pseudomonadati; Pseudomonadota; Gammaproteobacteria; Enterobacterales; Enterobacteriaceae.
AUUCGUCACACUAUCAUUAACUGAAUCCAUAGGUUAAUGAGGCGAACCGGGGGAACUGAAACAUCUAAGUACCCCGAGGAAAAGAAAUCAACCGAGAUUCCCCCAGUAGCGGCGAGCGAACGGGGAGCAGCCCAGAGCCUGAAUCAGUGUGUGUGUUAGUGGAAGCGUCUGGAAAGGCGCGCGAUACAGGGUGACAGCCCCGUACACAAAAAUGCACAUGCUGUGAGCUCGAUGAGUAGGGCGGGACACGUGGUAUCCUGUCUGAAUAUGGGGGGACCAUCCUCCAAGGCUAAAUACUCCUGACUGACCGAUAGUGAACCAGUACCGUGAGGGAAAGGCGAAAAGAA